GAAGGAUCACAUUUCAUCAUUUAACAAAAGGAAUAUUUAUAAUAUAACAGAAGUUUAGUCGUAUAGACUCAGAUAACUAAUAAGUUCAGAUAUUUCUGACUUAGCCAAAUAAGCAUAAAACUUCUGAGUACGCAGCGGAUUAUGAUUCUGAUUACAUGUAUGAAGACAUGUAACCCUAGAGUUCUUUAAUACAUAAAAAGACAAAAGAAUCCCGCUCAUCACUUCAUCAACAUCGGCAGCUGCUCAACCUGCACAUUUAGAAAUAUAUGCAGGGCUUGAGUACAAAAGUACUCAGUGGGCACGUAUGCCUAAGUAUAAAAAUACAUGCUUCAAAACUGUAAAUUGUCAUGCCAUAAUAAACAGUACAGCAAGGGAGUUUUUCGCUAAAAGGCCCAAGCUUACUAAAUUCAUUUGUGAUUCUUAAAGUUCGACUGCAGUCUAAGUUCUCUUGUAAUCUAUCAUAUCUGGAACUGUGUGCCGGAGAGGUGGCCACCUCUCACGGUCACUUGACCGGCCAACCCGCUAGAUGACUCACGGUCACUGGUGUACACUAGCCCUGGCAGGAUAGCUAUCAACUGCUCAGGACCCGAAUUCGAUUGCAUAAUAAAAGUCACAUCAGAUAGAUAUCAUACUGAAAUUUAAAUAUUUUAUGGCAAGACAAUAUUUGAAAUAACUUCAAUUAAUUUAGUCAUGAAAUAACUUGCUUGAACGUAACAUUUAAACUCAUUUGAUAUAUAUGAAAGUAAUGCCCACCUGAUAGUGAUUUUCUGUGAUACAAAAGCUCCUCAACAGAUUGUCAAUCUCGCCCUUGACCUUU
RNAcentral lists this long non-coding RNA (817 nucleotides) under Salvia miltiorrhiza (redroot sage). RNAcentral's name for it is "long non-coding RNA (SMIL_LNC005523)". The record is from RNAcentral. Lineage: Eukaryota; Viridiplantae; Streptophyta; Magnoliopsida; Lamiales; Lamiaceae.